GGACCCGCACAAGCAGUGGAGCAUGUGGUUUAAUUCGAAGAUACGCGCAGAACCUUACCAACGCUUGACAUGUUCGUCGCGAAACUAAGAGAUUAGUUUCUUCAGUUCGGCUGGACGAAACACAGGUGCUGCAUGGCUGUCGUCAGCUCGUGUCGUGAGAUGUUGGGUUAAGUCCCGCAACGAGCGCAACCCCCUACUUUUAGUUGCCACCAUUUAGUUGGGCACUUUAAAAGAACUGCCAGUGAUAAGCUGGAGGAAGGUGGGGAUGACGUCAAGUCCUCAUGGCCCUUAUGUGUUGGGCUACACACGUGCUACAAUGGCACUUACAAUGGGAAGCAAAGAGGUGACUCUAAGCUAAUCCCAAAAAUGUGUCUCAGUUCGGAUUGUACUCUGUAACUCGAGUGCAUGAAGCUGGAAUUGCUAGUAAUCG
Molecule: ribosomal RNA, 430 nt
Filed under: uncultured bacterium
Lineage: Bacteria
Description: bacterial SSU rRNA
Rfam family: Bacterial small subunit ribosomal RNA
Source: RNAcentral